ACUCGAUAAUAUAAACCUAUGAAGCAAAAAGUUUAAUUUUUUAAAAACUUUCUAAAUUUUUGAAAUGUUACAAUAUCUUUGAAUAUGACAAUAAAACAAUAUUUUACUAAUCUAUAUAUAUACAAUUAUGAUUUUAAUAAUGAAAUAAUAAUCCAAAAAUAUAUAUAUAGCAGAAUAUACAAAUACGUGUGAAAGUUUAAAAUAAUAUAUUGAAUGAAAAAAAUAUAAUAUAAACUUAUUAUGUUUAAAAAAUUGAUAGACACAUAUAUUAUAAUAUAUACCAAUUUAGAAUUGAAAACAAAAUAUUUAUAUAAAAAUAAAUGAAAACAAAAACCUGCGCGGUUGCGCGGAUCAAGAUCUAGUCUAUCUUAUUAAAAUAGAAGUCACAACUUCACUAUAUGUGAUAUUAUAAGUUGGAUCAUUAUUUAGAAAGUUUAUCAAAUGUACAUAACUUCUUUACAAUAUCUUUCAAUAUCUUUAUUUUUAUUUAAAUAAAAAAUAUUUAUUUAAGAAAAUUCUAACAAGAUCUUUUAAAAAUCUUUUCAGACUCAUUUUAAAAUUUUGUUUUGAAAUUUUUUUUUAUUUAAAUUUUAGUUAUCAUUAAAUAUAGUCAGAAAUUUAAAUUUAAUUUAGUUUUUAUUUAUAAACAAAAAUUAAAAUUAUAUAAAAUAUUUUAAUGAAGAUAACAACUUGAAAUUAUUACUUUUAAAAAAUACAUUUUACAACGAUUUUUAAAAAUUUGUUGGAAAGCAAUAACCAUGAGCUCAAAUGUUAGGUAUCUUUGAUUGAGGUUUUUUAAAUACUAUCCUUAUUGGUAUAUUUUGAGCAAUUUCUCAAAUAAAAAUUUUACCAUAACAUUAUUUUGCAUGUACAAAAUAUUAUAUUUUCUUUUUUAAAAUAAGUUUUUUUUUGUUUUUAUUAAUAUCCCAAAAAAUUCUUCUCAACUAUAUAGGUUCAGUUUAAUUUAGUUUCCAUAUAAAUUCCAAAUUUUAAGAAUGAAACAUAAAAUUAUGUAAAAUAUUAUUAUUAAAUAAUAAUGUUUACAAUUUUAUUUUUUACAAAAUACAAAAAAUUAUGUAAUAUAGUAUUGUAUUGUUACAUAAUAAUAUUCUAUAAAUUUGAAUGAUUUAAUAUAAAGAUAAUAAAACCCGCAUGGAUGUGCUGGUCAAGAUCUAGUAUAUUAUUUAUUGUCGAAUGUUUAUAAAAUGUUUACUGUUUAAUAUAUUUAAACAUGUUAAUGGAAAUGAAUUUAUAUCAGUGAAGAAAAAGGAACACACGUAUGUUGUUCUAACUGUACUAGUUAAUUGUAUAUAGGCCUGGCAUUUUACCCGGACCCGAAGACCUGACCUGAAACCGACCCAAAAAAAUCCGGUUCGGGUAGGAACCGACCCGAUCAAAUUACCCUAUCGGGUCUUGUUGCAGAGGACCCGACCCGGCCCAAAUCCGAAACCCGAUGGGUACCCGAAUUAAUAAGUAAAUUAUAUAAAAUGCAUAAAGGAAGAAUCGAAGACGGGUUAUUUGUCUAGAAAACAUGGGGGUCAACCACUAGGAGACAACGAAUUGUUGUUGUAUCUCGCAUAGUUUAGUAUAUAUACACAUUUUAAUAUAAUAAAAACACAAAUUUUGAAUAUUUUCGGAUAUAUAAAUAUUUUCAGAUAUUUUUUUUGUAUUUUUAGGUCUUUUUUAGAUCAAACCCAAACCGAACCUGACCCUAAACCGAACUGAAUCCGAACCGAUAAAUUGUAAUUAUCCGAAUGGGUCUAACUAUCUAAGACCCAAACCGAUCCGGAUCCGGCACGAUCCGAACCGACCUGGAACCGAGAAUUUGAAAUUACUCUAUCGGGUCCUAAACUCUUAGAUCCGAAAGAUCCGGACCCGAAAGGACCCGAUCCGAACCCGACCCGGCGACCCGAAUGCCCAUGCCUAUUUGUAUAUCGGUAAAGUAGUAAUGGUAGGACAAAAAAAAAUAAAAAUUAAUGAAUGAGUCCAACAAUUUUUUAUAAUAGAUUUUUAGAAUAAUUCUCUUUUAAUAAUAUAGAUUACGAGAAUUCAUAGUUUGAGUUGAAAAAUAAAAUAAAUAAAAUAGUUAUAUAUAUAAUUUUAUAUUUAAUAUAAAUAUGAAGCAAUAAAAUUAUAUAUAUAUUAUCAUAUACACCAAAGCAUUUUUUAUUUCUUAAUAUUAAAUUAGAUUUUGUUAAAAAGAUAUUUAUACGCUUUUAAAACGCAGAAUAUAAUCUAAUUUAUUUUAAAUAAAGUGGAUGAGAUUUUCCAUUAGAUGUUUGUAAGUAUUUAUAAAUAUCUGUAAAUAUCCAUAUAUUUUUUGGAUAUUCCAUUUUUUAACAAAAUAAACCAAAAAAAUAAAUAUUCAAAAAAUAGGAAGCAUAUUACAAAUACUCAAUCCCUUUCUUACUAAAGGAGGAGCAUUGAUAGAAAUAAACCUUGGUCUCAUGUGUUUAUUACAUGAGUGUCAUUUCCUAUGUGUCAUCACCACAUGCACUCUCACUUACUUUAAAAAAAAAAUUCUUUAUCAACUAGAAUAAUUACAAACAAAUGCCAUUGAUAACCUUAAUUACAUUCCGAUUUCAAAAGGGAUUAUGUCUAUGGUAAGUCAUUUACACUUGAUUACAUUCCGAUUUCAAAAAAAAAAACGGGGAUUUAACUAAGGCAGCAUAUUAACUCCUUCCUAUGAGAGACUUUAUGGUAUGUUCAAAAAUUUGGAAGUGUUUCAUUUAAAUAAGGCAACAAAAUAAGUGUUUCUUUAAACGUGGUACAACGUAUUCAAGGCAUAAUAUCAAAUCGUUUAUCAUAAUGUACAUAUCACUUAAUGCUUCAAAAUGUUAAGGAAAGACAAUUGAAUUGUUAACGUAUUCAAGAAAACAAAAUUCAAAGAAUUGAAAGCCUUACCUUAACAGAUAGGGGAAUAUUUCUGAUAUAUUUUUUGCGUGACCAUCACUGAUUUUCCUUACCUAUUUCACGUCCAGGCAUCACGCAAUUUACAUUGAUGGGUUUUCCAAAAUUGUCUUCGACCCCAUUGGUGUUCCCGAAAUUGAUGCUUUACGAUUGAGGUAAUACAUGCAUUCACAUAUUUUGUUAAAUAAUUUUUUUAAUUUCUCUAGAUGAUCUCUUUGCUUGCUCAUAAUAGGAUUGCAAACGAAGACUUUUGAAACAAUUAUUGACAGCAGUUAUUUUGUCUCUAUUUUUCAUUUUCUUUUGUUUUUUUAUACAUUGUUCCUUUUAUAUUUUAUUAGACUAUUGCUUAUGUUUCAUUUAAUAUUAUAUUUAUAAUUUUCCCGCAUGCAAACAAAUAUACAAUUUAAUUUUAAAGUCCAUCGCAUAUAAAUUUAUAUUGACAUACUAAAAUUCUUAGAUAUAAUCCGUACUUUCUUACAUAUAUUUUUCUUAAUAUGACUUUAACUUUUAUUAUGUCUACAUAUUGAAAGCUAUAAUAUUUUAAAAAUCUCCUCGCUCUGUGCAGGGCGUGGAUUAUCACCUAGUUUGAUAGUAUUAUGCUAUUCGUAUCACCCAUAAUAUAGUAAGUCGAACUUAAGAAACAUUCCUUACAAAAGUCUCUCUCACUAAACUCUCUCUCUUAGGCUCUCCUCCGAUUGUGCUGCCGGCAUUCUGCUGCUGGAGGAUUUGGCUUCUCUUUCUCUCCCUUCUGCUCCUCGUCUGCCCUUCUCUAUUUCCGAUAUGUGGUAGGCUCUGAAGCAAAGUUGAUUCGGGUGAGUUCUGCAGUCGGAGUCUCUGCUCCGGUUCUCUCUCGAUGGUGUUUUGGGGUCGCGAUGAGGGGAGCUGGUUGUGUGCUGGCAUGGAUUCAGCAUUUAAGGCUUUGACAUAUGGUAGAUCUGGAUGCUCUCCCCUUUCCCAAUAUGCUCCGACAUAGUUACCUUUGGUAAAUUAUUCGUUAACCCAUUCACGUCACCUACUUCUACUACACUGCACGUUUGACGGAAUCUCUUUUAUAGAUCUGCACUGUACGACCACGUGCAUUGCGCAUUCUCAUUUAUAAAUACAUCAAACUUCACAAUUUAAUAAAUUCAAAUAUAUUCUGAUAAAAUAGGAAUAAAUAAAUUUAUAUUCGAUGACAAAAAAAAUUAUAUUCUGGCAGAAAAAGAACUUACAAGACAAUGGAAAGGUAAAUUAAUUAAACCUCUAGGCAGAGGCAGGGGACAAUAUUCAUAUGUCUUCUGGAAAUUCAUAUUUUUUAUUUGUAUAAACUAAUCAAUCUACAAAAAAAUAGUCCUUAAUUAAAGAUCAGAUGACGAAUAAUUGGUGCAUUGAGUUAGUUGUAAUCGAGAUCACAGCUUUGUAAAUAAACUUACUAAACAAUUAUUUCAAUAAUUAGUUUAUUUAGAAAGCUAUGAUGAUUAUUUAAAUAAAUAUAUCAAUAGGAAUAGUCCAAAAUACCACCAAAAUUUAAUUCUUGAAAAUCACAUUUAAAAAAAAAAUCUCCAUUAACUAAAACUGACUAAAUUUUUAGAAAUAGUUUGUGGUAUCUUUGGGAAAAAUAAAUACAGCAAACUGUAUUUUUAGAACGUAAACUGUUUUCAUUCGAAUGUUUUACGUUAAAACUCUUUAACUAAGUUUGUUUUGGAUUAAAAAACCCCAAACUAUGUAUUUAACGAACAAACUACCUAACUAAUUUUAUUUAAUGAAUUGAAACCUCGCCGGUCAUAAUUACCAUUACUACCGGUAUAUAUUAGUUUAGAAAUUUCUAUAUUAAAUAAAUAUAGUCGAGGAGUUUUACCAUUAAAAAUAAAAUAAAAUUCAAAAAAUACAAAAUUUUAUAACAUUAUAAAAAAAAUAGUAACUUUAAUUUUCAAAAUUAGCAUUUUAAAAAUUUUCUGUAAAUAUAUGUGUUUGAUCUGUUUUUAACAUCAACAUUAUAUAUGUAUAAAUUAAAAAUGUAAAAAAUAGAAAAUAUGAUAAAAAUUAUCUAAAGAUUUUUAAUUACAUUUUUAUUAUAUUUUUUUUGUUUUUUUUACAUUUUUAAAAUUUAGAUAAUUUUUAUUACAUGUAAAUCUUUAAAUAAUUUUUGUUAUAUUUUAUGCGUUUUUAUAUUUUUAAUUUAUACAUAUAUAAUGUUGAUUUUAAAACAAAUCAGACUCGUAUAUUUACAUAAGUUUUUAAAAUGCUAAAAUUGAAAUUUAAAGUUACUAAUUUUUAGAUAAUGUUAUUAUAUUUCGGAUUAUUUUGAUGUUUUGAUUUUUAAAAGUAAAAUCUCUCAACUAUGUUUACUUAAUGUAGAAAUCCCUAAACUAAAGAUUUACUGGUAGUAAUGAUAAUUAUGACCGACGAAGAUUUAAUUCACUAAAUAAAGUUACUUUGAAGAUUUUUUUUAUUAAAUAUUUAGUUUUUGGAUUUUUACCCAAAAACAAAGUUAAUAGAGGAGUUUUAAUAUUAAAAAUCAUUUUCAUUCUACACCAUGUACUGAGGAUCUUUCUUUGCAAAACACCGUUUAUUAAUUUAAAAAUUAUAUGGGUUGCUUUUUCACGAAUGACGUCCAGACUUACGUAUAUAAUAUAAACUAUGAAAAUAUAUAAUGGAUAUUUAAAAAUAACGAGAAAUUAAAUUACAAAGUUAGGUCGAAAGGGCCCAUCAAAAUAUGACAUAUUUUUUUUUUAAAACUUUUUUGGUUCAACUUCAACUUUAUAUUCAUUACAAAGAGUAGUACAUUUUAUAUUCAUUACAAAGAGUAGUACAUGAUUUUUCACCGCAUAGGAUUCAACCACACUUACAUACAAAGUGGUCUACUUUCACCUAGGAACACAUAGAUGGAUCCUACGCUACCCGAACCGACAUUUUGAUGUAAUUCUACCGAAUGAAACAAAUCUUUUCUACAACUGAGAAAAUGUUGCCUCUUAAACCACCUCAAAUCGACCAUAGAGAGUGACAAACACUAUCAGCCGAGACUAUCUAGUCCUAAUCAGGAUUAAUCAAUUUAAAACACAAACAUUGAUCGCCAUAGGAUGAGAAUUCAGUGUUUGGACCAAUGUAUCAUCACCAGCGGUGCAAUCCGGACUGGACCAAGCGUCAUCAGGCUCUAAUGGCUCACUUCUUAGCCGGAGGGACGGAAACACGUCUGUACUGAAACAAAAGUGAACCUUGACGACAGCAAACAAAACGCAACCGGGUCAGCAAGCAUAGUGUCCAAUGGCGUGGGUCCGUACCGCCGGUGAGGCAGAGAUGCCGCCACCAGUGCUGGGAAGUUGGACGCCACCAUGUACCAACUGUGAAGCUCCUCCCACCGACUGACAACUCCGAAGAGUUGGAUCCUUCGCGACGUGUCUUCCCCGAGAACCGGGGAUAAGGCCAUUUCCACUGUCUUCUUCACAUCUCUUCUCUGUUCAGCUCAUCGCCACUGGGCGAAGGUAGAUCUACGCUGGAGAAGGUUCCCCACUGGGUCACACGCCGUCGCCGGAGAUCUACGAAAUGGAAAAUCAAAUCUGGCAACACACUCCGGCUCUAAAAGUCGACCCCUUUCGCCACCGUUGCUCCAUAAUCUCACCGUUCCUCCAAGCCACCGGUACAAGUCACCUUCGGCCCUUAAACUUUCGAGUGAGACACCAAACAAAUCAGAGCAACACACAUAUCGACAUGGAGGGGACCGAUGAAGAAAAAGGUAAAGGGAAAAUAAGAUAAGGGGAUGGGGGGGAUUCCAGUACCGGCGAGCGCCGGCCCGGAGUAGAGCUUCUUGCCGGAAAGUUUUCUUCGCUUUUGUGGAGAGAGUCUGAUUCAUUUUUUGUCAAAACGCGACAUAUUUUUAUUUAGGUUUUGAUUGGUAAUUUUGCUUAAUCGCAGAAAAAAUUAAUUAAACUGCAAAAACUAAUUAAGCUUUCUGCUAAACAAAAAAUACAUAACAGUUUUCUAAAAAAUUAUUUAAACAAAAAAUUUAAAUUUAAUACAUUAUUUACUCUAUUUAAAAUUAGCAACUAUGAAUAAUUAAAUAUAUUAUUAUAAUAAAAAUACCAAUUAAAUUUAAUCAAAACAUUUCUUUUAUUUUAAUUAUUUAUCUUAUUCUAAAUACAUUAAUAAUAAUAUAUUAACAUAUACAUUAAAGAUGAAGUUAUAGAUUAUUACUAUUUAUUCCAUAAUUAUUUAUAACCAACUAAUAGUUAGUUAAUAUUUUAAAAUAUUAUUCUCAUAUAAUUAAACAACACGAAAAUGUUGAUUCCACAAAUAAUCUACUAAAAUCUCAUUUUUUUGUAUUUUUUUAGCGAAAACCCAAAGCCUGCAUUUUUGCGUUUUAUGUUGUAUUCCACAAAUUUUGUUGAUUGGUAAAAAUCUAGCGUUUUUGUGUUUUUAGACGCCAUUCCGCCAUUCCGCAUAUUACCAAUCAAAGCCUUAGCUUUUCUCUUCCUUUUCCGAAUGGUCAUUAUUAUUAGAGAAAUUGCAUCCUAUAGCAUACAAAAAAAUUAUAAUUCAUUAUCUAACCAAUUAACCUAGUUUACAUAGAUAUAUCAUGUAUUUUCAUAUAAUAAUACACUAAUACCCUUGUAAGUCACUGAUGAAACCUGCUACCAAACUAAUUUUAAAAUAAAUAAUACAUAAAUGUAAAAGGUAAUAUGUGGCUCUCUAUUAUUCACACACUAUUCUAAAGUUAUUUUUGUUUGAUAAUUUUUGGGAAAGUGAAUAUGUUUCAUCUCAGAUUUGCAAGAUAACUCAACGCAACCGUCUACAUACCCGGUGAAGUACAAUGGAGGAGAAAACCACUUUCGAAGGCUACGGCAUUAAGGAAGGGGGAAGCUUCUCAGAUUUUGAAAUAAACAGUCCCAAGGAAGACAGAACAAGAGAGGCGGCGAGGUGGAUUAACGCUUGCAGAUUCAAGUUCCCAAAACCGUAUUGCAGAAGAGAAUUUCAAUCAUGUUACAAAUGGAUGAUUUAUACUGUCAAGUAGAUUGUUCGAAACUGGAUUUGAACCAAUUCGUGAAUAUAUUCUCAUUUAUAUGUAAUGAUGCAAUGUGUAUAUAAAUGGAAUAGACCGUGUGCACGUAAAAUGGAAAGAUCAUACAUGUGAAAUGGAAUGUAUGAUAUUUGCUAUUUGUUUUAUUCUAUUUUAUUUGCAGAACAUACAAUAGAAAUAUGAUUUUACAGUGCAUUCGCAUAAGUUAUGUUUGUUGUUGUAUCAUUGAUAUGAAUCCUAGUUUAUGCGUAUUGAUCAAGAAUUAAGUAUUUAAAACUCAAUUUUAUCACUUCCUUAACCACAUUAACAUAAGUCUAAACUUCACACGAAUUUCGUUAACCACAUCCAAAUUUCAUAAUUUCACCAAUAUGUAGUAUACUAUUUAUUUUGUUCUAUUCUAUUUGGGUUGAGGAUUUAUAUUUGGAUUUAGAGUUUAUAUUUGAGUUUAGGGUUUAAUGAUAAAGUUUUAGAGUUUAGUAUGGUUGGAAGUGGAGAUAGGACAUGAUUAGAAUUUAGGGUUUAGUAUUUUAGGAUUAGAGUAAGAUUUUGAUAUUUAAGAGUUAUGGGUAAGAUUUGUAUCCUAUACUAUUUCUCCGAUAUGGAAUACACUUUUUACUAAAAAUCUAUUUCUUUUCACUCUUUUUACAGCAUUUGUUUAUUUUUGUAUUUAGUAUCUUCAUUAUCUGGUUGGUUAAGAAAAUAGACUUACAUUAUAUUGUAAAUGGAAUAUACCACUCUUAGAAAGUAUUAUAUUUUUAUCCAUUUGUUUUACAUGUCACUUAAAUGUGCGGUAACUGUGCAUGUGACGUAAGUGACUUCAUGUGCUUUCAUUGUUAAUAGUGAUUAUUAACUCAUGUUUCUCUUCUCUCAUCGACGUCACUAUUUUCUUUUUCACUGGGUACCUUUAAGUGAAAAGGGUAUAACCGACUAAACUUUAGCAUAAAUGUUAGUUUAUUAAAUAGAUCAAAAUCAAUGUUAUAUGCUUAAUUUUCAUUUUUGUUUUGUAUAUUGAACAAAUUCUCCCUUAUUAUUAUUUGUCAAAGUACAAGUGUACAACCAGCAUAUACACUUUACAAAUUCGUUAUAAUUAAAACCUAUACGCACUACCAAGUUAUAUAAUAACCAUGAAUAUGUAGAUUGUAUAUACCAAAUUACCUGGAGACACACAUUAUUUAUCAACAUAAAACUAUUCCAAUAUAUAAGUUUUAUAUUGAAAAUUAAAAAAAUAGGCUGCUAAAUGAGUCACGAAAAGGUUGCCUCCAACUUUGAGAAAGAAAUAGAAUAGUGGAAAGAUGAGGAGAAAAGUAACUGUUUAUAAAUUAGAAAAAGUCACUGCAUGCCACCACAGCCCAUAGGUCAGACCUUGUAUUGGACCUUUCCUUUAUUUGUAUUUAGCUAGUUUUAUUAUAAUUUUAAGUAAUGAUAUAUUUCAGUUAGUUUAAAAUUGGUAAGAAAGUGAUGUCAAAUAGAAUUUAGGUUUGAUCAAAAAAAAAAUAGAGAAUUUAGGUUUACUAUAAUUUUAGGUAUUUAUAAAUAAAUAUCUCAAUGAUUUAAGUGAUGAGCAUAUUCCGAAACAAGGAUUGUUUUAUAUGCAUUGAACCUCCUUAUAAAAGUUUAAACAUGUAAUGGACAUAUCACUGGGUCACUUAUGUUAUGAUUAUUGAAUUUGAUAAUAUUAUAAGUGACUUAUAAGUCAUCAUUUCCUACAAAUUAAUAAUUUACUCUCGAAAGCUUUUUUGUAGUCGGUAAAUAUCUUAUCAACCUAACUGUAUUAAUAUGAUAUUUCAUUUUGAGUUUUAAAGUUAAUUUUUUUUACUCCCUUCAUAAUGUUACAUAUUUUAGAAAAAAAAUAUUUCAAAAAAUACAUUUUUGUAUUUGCAAUUCAUAUUUUGUUCAGCUACUAAUGAUUAAUUGCAAAUUUCAAAAAACUUAAUUGUACUUAUUAGAUAUUUAUUGGUUUAAAUUUAUGAGAAAAUGAUAAUUACAAAAAUCAUGCAUUUAUUACAUGUUUUAUUAAUACAUGUGAAAAAAUAAAAUAUACAUCAUAUUGAAAUAGAAUGAGUAUUAUUUUUUGAGUGAUUUUUUCGUGUGUAUCUGUAAUGAAAAACUAGACGCAACUACACACAAACUAAAAGAAAAUAAAACACAACAAACGAUGAUAAAUUCCUACAACCGAGAUUAAACGUAAACAACACCAAUAUUCUUGAAGCCACAUAUUGACAUGAACUUCCUUGCCAGUAACGAGUCCAUGUCAAUCUUGUUUAUCGUGACUAACGUGGUCAGUCUUCAGAACCAUUCUGUUUCUGUAGCUUCUUCGAAAAUCCCGAACCAUUGACCUGCAAAAAAUAGCGCACACAACCACCACUUCCAGCGGAUAUUCUGGAGGAUCAUUCAGAAUAUUUAUUUUUUUGUUUUUGCUUAACUUCUGAAUAAACUUAGAUAAAGGAGAGGUUGCAUGCCACAAUCACUCUGAUUUUGUGUAUAUAUAUAUACUUUUUUUUUUUGUUACAAAUUUUGUGUACAAAGAUCGGAUGAAUGAAAUAGAGCUUUAUUGGAGGAAAAAAAUAGAAACUAAAAAAAAGUAGUCUCUUUGGUUCAGAGUAUGACUCAUACUGUAUGAGGUGUUCUCGUAGUGAAAGCUCAGUCUAGCCAAAAAUCUUAUAAUCUUAUUAUCUAAAAUUGCUAAAGAUUUACUUGCAAUGCAAGUGCCGUAUGUUGCAUAGGAAUCCAUCUUAGCACUAGUGGUUACUAUUGGGCCUCUGUACUCCUUAUACGAGGUCCACUAUAAAUAAGUUUACAGUUUAACGUCGCUAUACAUCAUGUAUAUAUGUAGGUUAUGCCUCCUAUCAUGAAUAAUAAGAAACACUUUCAUAAACUUUCUAGUUUCUUGACAUGGUAUCAAAGCCAUAACCUAACUACACCAAAGUUGUAGCUUUCGAUCUUGUGAUAUCUAAACUUUCCGUUUUAAAAACUCUUAAUCUCUGUCAGACUACUAACUACUUCACCAUAUUUCAAAAAAAAAAAAAAACUACUUCACCACUAAGCAAAGCCUGUUUUAAAGAGGCAAAAUAGCUUUAUUUUACUUCUGUUCAAGAAGAUCUUGUAAAGGGUUACAUGCCAUGUGCUUAUGUUAAAAGUGAUUUGAUAGCUUUAUUUUACUUAUGCAAAAUAGCUUUAUUUUACUUAUGUUCAAGAAAAUCUUGUAAAGGGACUGUAUCUAUACUAUUAAAGCAGGAUUCUAUUUUAAAAAUUACCUUAGCCUGCCUUUUUUUUUACUAACAUUGCAUGUUUUAUUAAGGGCAAUCAAGUAAUAUUAAUAACACAUUUACAUUGGGCUAUUUUUUCGGAUCCAGCCCACAUCAGAUCUCUCUUGGGCCAUUUGGGCCGAUUAAGAAAUCCAAUUCUCACAUUUUUUUUUCUUUUGGGUCAUUGAGCCCAAGUUUAAAUAAUUUUUUUUAACUAUUCUUAAUUAUUAUUUUUUUCUUUUCUUAAUAUAGUUUAAGCACUCAUAAAAAAGUGGAUUUUACAUUGAAAAGUAUAAAUCUUUAUUAAAAGUAUAUUUUUUUAUUAAAAUAUUAACCACAUAAUAAAAUUAAUUUAUCAGAAUUAUACCAACUUAAUUCAUUAAAGAAAUAAAGUUUAAUUUUUUAAGCAUAAAUAGUCAUUUAAAAUUAAAUACGAUAAAUAAAAAUAAAAGUUUAAAUUUUUUAUAAAAUAAAACACAAAUAUAUAAAACUAUGACAUUUUUACUAAAUAUUUGUCAAUUGAAAAAAAUAAAAAAUAAAUCUGCGCUUUAAAAGCGCGUGUCAAAAUCUAGUUAUUAACUUAUUACCGAUGUAUUUAACAUUUUACCAAAAAAAAAAAAAAAUCUUGAAAAGGGUUACCUAUCAUGUGCUUAUGUUAAAAGUGAUUUGAUUCUCUGCCUCUUUAAAAAAAAAAAAAAAAAAAAUCUCACACGGUUGUCGUCAAAAGAUUUCGUUACGUUAGCAGAUGAAACUGGUUCUGUUAUGUUGAUCAAAGACGAUCGACUUUUAAUAAAUACAUUAGAUUUUCACAUGCGCAUAAAAAAGCGGAAUUAUUUCUUUCAGUUGCAAAAUUUUUAAUUUUACAUAAUUCAUAUAUUGUAUGUAAUUUUACAUGACUUAUAUAUUUUAUCAUUUUACAUGAUUUAAAAAUAUAUGGAUUUUUUAUACAUUUUAUCUAUUUUCAGUUUUUACCUGAAAUAUUUUUUUUUUCAGUGUGCAAAAUGUUUUUAUUGGCAACUUAUAUAUAUCCACGUGCGACCAAGUGGAAUCCCUCUCCCAUCUCCUCUUUGAAUGUAGCUUCACAAGGGAAGUUUGGACCUUGUGCAAAUCAUGUAAAAUGAUAAAAUAUAUAAGUCGAUUGAGACUCAAGCCGAUCACAUCGCGUGUGUUGGCUUGAGACUUCCCUUGCGAUCACAUCGCGUGUGUCGGCUUGAAACUUCCCUCAAUUGAAACUCAAGCCGACACACCCGAUGUGAUCUACUUGCAACACAGACGCAGCCUGACUCUCACAGACAAAAUCUGCUGGAAUGGCCUGGAUCUUCACAGAUCAGGAGUCUAGGGACAUAGCAAGAGGCUCCCUGUACCAGGAGUUCGUCUCCUCUCCAUCUAUGGCAGAGGCGCUAGCGAUUCGCGGUGCUCUUCUACAUGCAAUAUCCCUCAACAUCAACAAAAUUAUUUUUCGCUCGGAUUGCAAAGGGUUUGUUCAAGCCAUCUCCUCGAAUCAAAGAUAGGUGGAACUGUUUGGAAUUCUAUCGGACAUUGAAUCGUCGAUCACUUCUUUCUCGUCUUUGUCUUUUGUUUUCAUUCCAAGAACCUUAAAUGGACCAGCUGAUGCUGCAGCAAAAACAUACCUUUGUAACAAACUCUCUAGUUUGGGCCUAGCCACAAACUAAUUUUUAAAUUAAUGAAGCUUUCUGAUGUUCGAAAAAAUAUAUAUCCACGUGCGGAACUAUAUAUAUAUGAAUUAGCACGUGCCACAUACUCAAUAAUUUAAACCCUUUUUGUGUA
Long non-coding RNA from Brassica rapa (field mustard), 12936 nucleotides. RefSeq lists it as uncharacterized. The record is from RefSeq and is a predicted model, not a curated record. NCBI's taxonomy places the organism in Eukaryota, Viridiplantae, Streptophyta, Magnoliopsida, Brassicales, Brassicaceae.